RNAcentral lists this transfer RNA (81 nucleotides) under Eragrostis curvula (weeping love grass). Its description in RNAcentral is "tRNA tRNA-Leu". It matches the Rfam family "tRNA". From Rfam's summary of the family: Transfer RNA (tRNA) molecules are approximately 80 nucleotides in length. Their secondary structure includes four short double-helical elements and three loops (D, anti-codon, and T loops). Lineage: Eukaryota; Viridiplantae; Streptophyta; Magnoliopsida; Poales; Poaceae. The record is from Rfam by way of RNAcentral.
GCCUUGAUAAUGAAAUGGUAGACACACAAGACCCAAAAUCUCAUGCUAAAGAGAGUGGAGGUUCGAGUCCUCUUCAAAGCA